CGUGUCCGGGCGGAGGGGGCGGCGCGGCGCGGCGGAUCCAUGAUGGCGGCGCUGCAGCCGAAGGCGGGCGGCCCCCCGCAGAUCCCGGACACGCGGCGCGAGCUGGCCGAGCUCGUCAAGCGCAAGCAGGAGCUGGCGGAGACGCUGGCCAACCUGGAGCGGCAGAUCUACGCCUUCGAGGGCAGCUACUUGGAGGACACCCAGAUGUACGGGAACAUCAUCCGCGGCUGGGACCGCUACCUCACCAACCAGAAGAACUCCAACAGCAAGAACGACCGACGCAACCGGAAGUUCAAGGAAGCCGAGCGACUCUUCAGCAAGUCUUCGGUCACCUCGGCAGCCGCCGUCAGCGCGUUGGCCGGAGUUCAAGACCAGCUCAUUGAGAAGCGGGAGCCGGGCAGUGGGACAGAGAGCGACACUUCUCCAGACUUCCACAAUCAGGAGAACGAGCCCAGCCAGGAGGAUGCCGACGAUCUGGAUGGGUCUGUGCAGGGCGUGAAGCCCCAGAAAGCUGCUUCCUCCACUUCCUCGGGGAGUCACCACAGCAGCCACAAAAAACGGAAGAACAAAAACCGACACAGCCCGUCUGGCAUGUUUGAUUAUGACUUUGAGUAUGUAUAUUAGGUUAGGCUGGGAAGUUUUUUUUAAAAACAGAAAAACGUGACGGAGGAUUGAUCUCAAGUUAAACAAAAAGCCAAGAGCCGACUACUAGACUCAUCAGCACUGAAGCUUCCAGGACGUGGGCCCCACGCGAGUCUCCACCGAGGAAAAUGCCAAUCUAGCGCAGGAGUGGGCCGCCAGCUCUGCAGCCGCACGUCUGCAGCCGGAAGCAGCCAAUUCUGUCACACCGCCACGGGGGAGACCGUCUUGGCCGACAUACUUUGUGUCAUUGUGAGUCCCCUGGGACACAGGACUGGGCCGCGGCACGGGCGAUCUUCAGGCCCCAAGGGCUCGCGCUGUCGCCCGGCUGAAGGCACCCUCCAGCUGGCUGACCCCGCCGCCACCAUCGCCGUCGUCUGUCAUCACUGCCGAGAGACAUCACCGUCGCUCCCGUUCCCAGGGGAUGGGCCUGUUUGUCCGCGCGGGUUGUAAAUCUGUUACAUGAUUUUUUUUAAUACGGCUCGUUCGUGUUCUGUUCUUGUUCGGGGUUGUUUUAACCAAAGUGACAAACCGGCUCUUCAUCUUUUUCCUUUCCUACAAGCCCAGCCAGGCAGGCAUGCUCUUUGUUUUGGGGACCGCUCCACUGCAGUGGAAAUGCAAGUGGCUCCCCCUUGCCUCUCUCUCCUCCCUUCCCCAGGGCUCUGCGGGCUCUGAACCACGGGAAGGCUGGAGCCCAAAGCCCUCUUGCUCUGGGCGGUGUGUGGGGGGCGAGGGGUGGAGUCUCUUUUUAAUGCACCCUUCUGUCAUUUGUAUAUAAAACAAUAAAAGUCCCACGUUCGCGUC
Molecule: RNA transcript, 1443 nt
Organism: Alligator mississippiensis (American alligator)
Lineage: Eukaryota; Metazoa; Chordata; Crocodylia; Alligatoridae
Gene: MEAF6
Gene name: MYST/Esa1 associated factor 6
Exons: 9
Source: RefSeq, a predicted model, not a curated record